Long non-coding RNA from Gadus macrocephalus (Pacific cod), 201 nucleotides. RefSeq lists it as uncharacterized. NCBI's taxonomy places the organism in Eukaryota, Metazoa, Chordata, Actinopteri, Gadiformes, Gadidae. The record is from RefSeq and is a predicted model, not a curated record. The transcript is spliced from 2 exons.
UGUGUGUGUGUGUGUGUGUGUGUGUGUGUGUGUGUGUGUGUGUGUGUGUGUGCAUGUGUGUGUUAAGUACAAGCAAGUGGCUUCGUUCUCCUCCAGUGGUAGUUGCUCAAGGGUAGCAGGGCUGAAAUCAAAGUGCAUGGCUGAGGCCGGCGAGGGAAGACACUCCUGGAGGUCCCCCGAGUAACAGACACUGUCGCUCUG